GCCGCCCUAGCUCAGUUGGUAGAGCGAAGCUUUCGUAAAGCUUAGGUCACGGGUUCAAAUCCCGUGGGUGGCU
RNAcentral lists this transfer RNA (73 nucleotides) under Phycisphaerae bacterium. RNAcentral's name for it is "tRNA-Thr". It matches the Rfam family "tRNA". Rfam says of the family: Transfer RNA (tRNA) molecules are approximately 80 nucleotides in length. Their secondary structure includes four short double-helical elements and three loops (D, anti-codon, and T loops). The record is from RNAcentral. Lineage: Bacteria; Pseudomonadati; Planctomycetota; Phycisphaerae.